UACGAAGGGGGCUAGCGUUGUUCGGAUUUACUGGGCGUAAAGCGCACGUAGGCGGAUUGUUAAGUCGGGGGUGAAAUCCUGGAGCUCAACUCCAGAAUUGCCUUCGAUACUGGCUUUCUAGAGGCUGGAAGAGGUUAGUGGAAUUCCCAGUGUAGAGGUGAAAUUCGUAGAUAUUGGGAAGAACACCAGUGGCGAAGGCGGCUAACUGGUCCAGAUCUGACGCUGAGGUGCGAAAGCGUGGGGGAGCAAACAGG
RNAcentral lists this ribosomal RNA (254 nucleotides) under uncultured bacterium. Its description in RNAcentral is "partial 16S ribosomal RNA". It matches the Rfam family "Bacterial small subunit ribosomal RNA", at positions 524 to 776 of the family's 1533-position model. The record is from RNAcentral.